This 354-nucleotide ribosomal RNA is filed under the name uncultured bacterium. RNAcentral's name for it is "bacterial SSU rRNA". It matches the Rfam family "Bacterial small subunit ribosomal RNA", at positions 1037 to 1390 of the family's 1533-position model. The record is from RNAcentral.
GGUGGUGCAUGGUUGUCGUCAGCUCGUGUCGUGAGAUGUUGGGUUAGGUCCCGCAACGAGCGCAACCCUUACCUUUAGUUACCAGCAAGUAAAGUUGGGGACUCUAGAGGGACUGCCGAUGAUAAAUCGGAGGAAGGUGGGGAUGACGUCAAAUCAUCAUGCCCUAUAUGCCCUGGGCAACACACGUGCUACAAUGGUCGGAACAAAGGGAAGCGAAGUCGUGAGGCGAAGCAAAGCCCAUAAAACCGAUCUCAGUUCGGAUUGUUCUCUGCAACUCGAGAACAUGAAGUCGGAGUUGCUAGUAAUCGCAGAUCAGAAUGCUGCGGUGAAUGCGUUCCCGGGUCUUGUACACAC